CAGAGAGUGCAAGCGUUAAUCGGAAUUACUGGGCGUAAAGCGCACGUAGGUGGAUGUUUAAGUCGGAUGUGAAAGCCCUGGGCUUAACCUGGGAAUUGCAUUCGAUACUGGACAUCUAGAGUAUAGUAGAGGGAAGUGGAAUUUCCGGUGUAGCGGUGAAAUGCGUAGAUAUCGGAAAGAACACCAGUGGCGAAAGCGGCUUCCUGGACUAAUACUGACACUUAGGUGCGAAAGCGUGGGGAGCAAACAGGAUUAGAUACCCUGGUAGUCCACGCCGUCAACGAUGAUAACUAGAUGUUGGGAAGUUUACUUCUUAGUAUCGAAGCUAACGCGUUAAGUUAUCCGCCUGGGGAGUACGGCCGCAAGGUUA
This 370-nucleotide ribosomal RNA is filed under the name uncultured organism. Its description in RNAcentral is "bacterial SSU rRNA". It matches the Rfam family "Bacterial small subunit ribosomal RNA", at positions 526 to 896 of the family's 1533-position model. The record is from RNAcentral.